UCAUUCAUGAACAUGGAGGAUCUUUCAUUGUUCCAACGUCUUCAAGAUGCCUUUCAUUGACUGGGCUACUGACAAAGGCUCAUCCCUCAGAACCAAGAAGUGUCAAGAAUUUAAACUGUUGUAGCAACAAUAAAAUGAACCCAAGAAAUGUCUAGAAAGUUCAUGAGAUCUAUUAAAGCCCAGUGAUCCACUAUUAUCCAUAAAAUUAAAAAAAUAAAAGCUA
Molecule: long non-coding RNA, 223 nt
Organism: Mastomys coucha (southern multimammate mouse)
Lineage: Eukaryota; Metazoa; Chordata; Mammalia; Rodentia; Muridae
Exons: 2
Source: RefSeq, a predicted model, not a curated record